Molecule: non-coding RNA, 74 nt
Organism: Cordylochernes scorpioides
Lineage: Eukaryota; Metazoa; Arthropoda; Arachnida; Pseudoscorpiones; Chernetidae
Source: the annotation of a GenBank genome assembly
GUGCCCAAUGUGGGAUUCGAACCCAGGUCGUGGGUUUCUAAAUCCGACAGUUUUUACCACUACACCACCAAGCA